This 587-nucleotide long non-coding RNA is filed under the name Cyanistes caeruleus (blue tit). RNAcentral describes it as "lncRNA (ENSCCEG00000015046.1)". Lineage: Eukaryota; Metazoa; Chordata; Aves; Passeriformes; Paridae. The record is from RNAcentral.
AUGGUGGGAGAAUCCAGCACUUGCUCAAGUUACAGCCUGCCUUGCCCUGACAUCAGUAUCAGCACCUACUCUGUGGAAAGCCGGCAGUCUGUUAUUGUUGUGGUCAGAAGGACAUGUGUUCCCUUUUGCCUCUGGACAGCCCUGCUGCCCACGGAGAGCUCUGCAGUCAGCAGCCUGCCUGACAGGGUCAUGACUUCCAGAGAAUGCUGCUACUGACAUCCAUCUACGCUUCUCUCAAGUGAAAGAGAUCUCAUUCCCAUCUAAAUAUGAAAAAUCUAGAAGGUACAGAGUAAUCUGCUGUCCUGAGCCUUGACAAUAGAGUCAAUGGGUCAUUUCAGCUGUUUCUACCUUUACUGUGAAUAGCAUUGCAAAACAAGUCUCCACCAGAAACUAAGGAACUGGAGGUUAAGCGUUGAUAGUUUGAUGCCAAGGAAGCAGCACUGAAUUGCUUGACUGUUGAAUGAUUUAUAGGGUAUGUAUGAGUUUUCAUGAGGAAAGUAGAAAGAGUAGUUUUUCUGGUAAUGUUGUAAGUAUAACACAUUUUGGGAGAGAAUAAAACAGAGCAAGGUCAAUACCCUCUCCCUUUC